AGAAUCAACGCUGGCGGCGUGCCUAACACAUGCAAGUCGAACGAGAAAGUGGAGCAAUCCACGAGUAAAGUGGCGCACGGGUGAGUAACACGUGACUAACCUACCCUUGAGUGGGGGAUAACCUAGGGAAACCUGGGCUAAUACCGCAUAAUACCUACGGGUCAAAGGAGCAAUUCGCUUAAGCGAGGGGUCGCGGCCGAUUAGUUAGUUGGCGGGGUAAUGGCCCACCAAGACGAUGAUCGGUAU
RNAcentral lists this ribosomal RNA (246 nucleotides) under uncultured bacterium. RNAcentral describes it as "partial small subunit ribosomal RNA". It matches the Rfam family "Bacterial small subunit ribosomal RNA", at positions 26 to 286 of the family's 1533-position model. The record is from RNAcentral.